Molecule: long non-coding RNA, 1645 nt
Organism: Cyprinus carpio carpio
Lineage: Eukaryota; Metazoa; Chordata; Actinopteri; Cypriniformes; Cyprinidae
Source: Ensembl
AUGGUCAGAAUAUCUCAAGUUACCAGUGCAUAUCCAAUGGUCAGCAUGCUUUGGACUUCUCCAUUAAAAGAAACACCUCACCCCUGCCCCAAGUUUGUUUGUGAAGACAACUGUGGUAUAUUUUCACAGAAACCUGACCCCGCAAAAGAAAAGAAGUGUAAACCAUGCUCCAUCAGCCCUGCCCUCAGUGUUUUAAAACAGCCCCUCCAAUGCUUCUUUGAGAUGCACCCUAAAUGGUGUCGUAUUCCAAACAACUGUUCUUAGAGGAGGGAUGAUGUCCUACAAGUGACUAACGGAAUAAACGGUCCUCUCCACCAUACAGAUAUGCAAAUAUUGGAAUCAAAACCUGCCAUCUAUAUAAGGUACUCUGUUGUAUGUCACCCUGUUUUAUUGUGAGCACAGUCUUAUAAGGAAGGCUCUGUCAUAUUCUGAGGGUCAGAGUUACAAGGCUAUUAGAAAAUGCUGUGAGUCACUCCAGAGAACACCGUGUUUCAUUGCAGUUGGGCUGCGAUGAUGCUCUAGGACUAUGUUGACCUUCUUAUGUGAGUGCCAACAGUCUCGCUCACCAAAAAUGGCAGAACUAUGGCUGCACAGGAUGCAAGGAACAAUAAAAUACAGAGCAUUAAAGAAUACUUCAGAGCCAAACACAACACACAGAGGCUGUGACCUAUCAGGUGGCUUCAGUUUUGAUAAUAUUCAGUUUAAAUAUCACUGAAUUUUAUUGUUUUACCCUUGGCCCUGACCCAAGUAUUCAGUCUUGAACUAUGAAUAUCAAAAUAUAAUAUCUAAGUUUAUAAACUAUUUCAAAGUUUACUUUAAAUAUUUGCACAAAUUAUGAUUAUCCCACAGUAACAUUUCCACAACAACAAAUAACUUUUCCUGUAAUAAAGUUUUGUUCAAAACUAAGUAUAAUAAUAAUUUGGCCGAAUUAUGCAAAAAAUGUGCAAAAUAUUGCUUAAUAGUCUGUUAGCUAUGAAAUUUGUCUUAAUGUAGUCAUUAAUAUAAGAAAAGUGUUUUUUUUUUUUCGGUUUUGUCAUUUCCAUAACAAAACCGAACACUAAAUCAGAAGUUGUGGAAAUGACUCAAUAAAAUUUUUCAUAGUGUUUUGAGUAUAUUUAAUGUGUUAAAAAUCAGUUAGUUUAACCUAAUCACAUUUUAAAAUGCCACAAUUGGCAUUUUCAUUCUGAGGACACUGAAUGGGAAUUAAUUGAUUGUGGAAGGAUUUAUGGACUACAGCUAGCUAUUCUUUUGAGCAUAAUACUUCUAACUUUAGAAGCCCAUGGACGUGGAAUGACCACAGCGGUGAUCUGUGUUUAUUUAUGUGUGCGUGAUUAUGUGUGUUGGGGGUUUAAGACAGAGGGAACAGCGUUCCCCUGUGGCAUCCCCCUAAAAGCCUGAUUUACUGCCUGUCUGUUCUGAGCUCAGGACCCCUGGACACACAUACUCACCCACACAAACACACUUACCCAUAUUUUUUUCCCGUUGGGCCUCAUGCCUGCCCUCCAACUUGGUUUAACCCAAUGAGAAAACACAGAAAGGGGUCAGAGGGCCUUUGUUACACUAAGAAACCAAUGGGCAGAGUAAAUAAUAUAUUACACGGCAAGUAGAAGAGAUACCAUUUAAUAUAAAAAAAAAAGGAUUCAUA